Molecule: non-coding RNA, 100 nt
Filed under: Paenibacillus stellifer
Lineage: Bacteria; Bacillati; Bacillota; Bacilli; Caryophanales; Paenibacillaceae
Description: Guanine sequence
Rfam family: Purine riboswitch aptamer
About the family: Riboswitches are metabolite binding domains within certain messenger RNAs that serve as precision sensors for their corresponding targets. Allosteric rearrangement of mRNA structure is mediated by ligand binding, and this results in modulation of gene expression. A class of riboswitches that selectively recognises guanine and becomes saturated at concentrations as low as 5 nM.
Source: Rfam by way of RNAcentral
AAGCACAACAACAUCACUAUUCGUAUAAUCCCGGGGAUUGGCCUGGGAGUCUCUACGAGGUCACCAUAAUGACCUGGCUACGAUAUAAAGGGAUGCCGUU